GCUGGCGGCGUGCUUAACACAUGCAAGUCGAACGAUGAAGCUGGAGCUUGCUCCGGUGGAUUAGUGGCGAACGGGUGAGUAACACGUGAGCAAUCUGCCCUUGACUCUGGGAUAACUGCGGGAAACUGUAGCUAAUACCGGAUACGACACCUUGGGGCAUCCCAGGGUGUGGAAAGAAUUUCGGUCAAGGAUGAGCUCGCGGCCUAUCAGCUAGUUGGUGAGGUAAUGGCUCACCAAGGCGACGACGGGUAGCCGGCCUGAGAGGGUGACCGGCCACACUGGAACUGAGACACGGUCCAGACUCCUACGGGAGGCAGCAGUGGGGAAUAUUGCACAAUGGACGAAAGUCUGAUGCAGCAACGCCGCGUGAGGGAUGAAGGCCUUCGGGUUGUAAACCUCUUUUAGCAGGGAAGAAGCGAAAGUGACGGUACCUGCAGAAAAAGCACCGGCUAACUACGUGCCAGCAGCCGCGGUAAUACGUAGGGUGCAAGCGUUGUCCGGAAUUAUUGGGCGUAAAGAGCUCGUAGGCGGUUUGUCGCGUCUGCUGUGAAAAUCCGAGGCUCAACCUCGGACCUGCAGUGGGUACGGGCAAGCUAGAGUGCGGUAGGGGAGAUGGGAAUUCCUGGUGUAGCGGUGGAAUGCGCAGAUAUCAGGAGGAACACCAAUGGCGAAGGCACAUCUCUGGGCCGUAACUGACGCUGAGGAGCGAAAGCGUGGGGAGCGAACAGGAUUAGAUACCCUGGUAGUCCACGCCGUAAACGGUGGGUGCUAGUUGUGGGCCACAUUCCACGUGGUCCGUGACGAAGUUAACACAUUAAGCACCCCGCCUGGGGAGUACGGUCGCAAGACUAAAACUCAAAGGAAUUGACGGGGGCCCGCACAAGCGGCGGAGCAUGCGGAUUAAUUCGA
RNAcentral lists this ribosomal RNA (909 nucleotides) under Rhodoluna lacicola. RNAcentral describes it as "bacterial SSU rRNA". It matches the Rfam family "Bacterial small subunit ribosomal RNA", at positions 35 to 954 of the family's 1533-position model. The record is from RNAcentral. Lineage: Bacteria; Bacillati; Actinomycetota; Actinomycetes; Micrococcales; Microbacteriaceae.